This 21-nucleotide non-coding RNA is filed under the name Arabidopsis thaliana (thale cress). Lineage: Eukaryota; Viridiplantae; Streptophyta; Magnoliopsida; Brassicales; Brassicaceae. The record is from RNAcentral.
GAGACAACAAUGGAGAUAAGA